AUCGCUAGUAAUCGCGGAUCAGAAUGCCGCGGUGAAUACGUUCCCGGGCCUUGUACACACCGCCCGUCACACCAUGAGAGUUCGGGAACACCCGAAGUCCGUAGCCUAACAGCAAUGAGGGCGCGGCCGAAGGUGGGUUCGAUAAUUGGGGUGAAGUCGUAACAAGGUAUC
Molecule: ribosomal RNA, 171 nt
Filed under: uncultured bacterium
Lineage: Bacteria
Description: partial 16S ribosomal RNA
Rfam family: Bacterial small subunit ribosomal RNA
Source: RNAcentral